Molecule: small nucleolar RNA, 143 nt
Organism: Arvicanthis niloticus (Nile rat)
Lineage: Eukaryota; Metazoa; Chordata; Mammalia; Rodentia; Muridae
Product: small nucleolar RNA SNORA48
Source: RefSeq, a predicted model, not a curated record
UCCUCUUGGCAAUGGGCAAAGAAAUACCUUGUUGGUGGUGUUGCUCUUGUAUCAGUCAGGGGCACAGCAGAUGAAGUUCUUUGUUCAUCCUAGUUUAAUGUCUGACUUGAUGGCUAAAGUUGUUUUAUGUGUAGGACACAUAA